CAAUAGCGUAUAUUAAAGUUGUUGCAGUUAAAAAGCUCGUAGUUGAAUUUCUGGCGGGCGCGCCGGUCUUCCAAGUGUUGUACUGGGCGCAGUCCGCCAUCCUUGUGGAGAGGGCUCGCAUUGAGUUGCGUGUCGGAUCUGCAUCAUUUACUGUGAAAAAAUUAGAGUGUUUAAAGCAGGCUGUCGCUUGAAUACAUUAGCAUGGAAUAAUAAGAUAGGACUUCGGUCUAUUUUGUUGGUUGCGAACCGAGGUAAUGAUUAAUAGGGAUAGUUGGGGGUAUUCAUAUUCAAUUGUCAGAGGUGAAAUUCUUGGAUUUAUGGAAGAUGAACUACUGCGAAAGCAUUUACCAAGGAUGUUUUCAUUAA
Molecule: ribosomal RNA, 366 nt
Filed under: uncultured eukaryote
Lineage: Eukaryota
Description: partial 18S ribosomal RNA
Rfam family: Eukaryotic small subunit ribosomal RNA
Source: RNAcentral